UACGUAGGGUGCAAGCGUUGUCCGGAAUUAUUGGGCGUAAAGAGCUCGUAGGCGGUUUGUUGCGUCGGCUGUGAAAACCUGAGGCUCAACCUCAGGCCUGCAGUCGAUACGAGCAGACUAGAGUGUUGCAGGGGAGACUGGAAUUCCUGGUGUAGCGGUGAAAUGCGCAGAUAUCAGGAGGAACACCGGUGGCGAAGGCGGGUCUCUGGGCAGUAACUGACGCUGAGGAGCGAAAGCGUGGGGAGCGAACAGG
Molecule: ribosomal RNA, 253 nt
Filed under: uncultured bacterium
Lineage: Bacteria
Description: partial 16S ribosomal RNA
Rfam family: Bacterial small subunit ribosomal RNA
Source: RNAcentral